Molecule: transfer RNA, 541 nt
Filed under: uncultured cyanobacterium
Lineage: Bacteria; Bacillati; Cyanobacteriota
Description: partial 16S-23S ribosomal RNA intergenic spacer
Rfam family: tRNA (bases 212-284)
Source: RNAcentral
CAGGGAGACAACAAAAUGUUUAAUAUUAUUAUUUUGUCACCUUAGGUCGAUCGGUAUCUCACGUUCUUAAUUAAUUAAGAAUUUUAUUUCCUAAGUUUUUCUAGGUCACACCCAUUAUUUUUCCUGGGCCAUUAGCUCAGGUGGUUAGAGCGCACCCCUGAUAAGGGUGAGGUCCCUGGUUCAAGUCCAGGAUGGCCCAUAUCUCUAUGUUGGGGGUAUAGCUCAGUUGGUAGAGCGCCUGCUUUGCAAGCAGGAUGUCAGCGGUUCGAGUCCGCUUACCUCCACUGAUUACCACCUCUUCCAUAUAUUGUAGAAAGGAAAUUUUUUUGAAGUGUGAUCAUAUUCUGAACGAAUCUAGCUUCCUAAUGAAAGUAUUAAGAUGCUGGACUCAUUGAAUUAAUUUCAUUGUUUUCAGAGAACCUUGACAACUGCAUAGAUUAUUUUUAAAGACAAUAAGCAUCUUUAAUGAUGCAGAUUUAUUAUUUGUGCGAAUGCAUUAAUAACAAUUCUAUUAAGCUGAUGCUUCAAUUUUGAAGUUAUU